AAGUUAAGGAUCGUCAUCAGGAUGAUGACGGGACAGUUUAAGGAAGAAAUCCAGGACACCUCCAGGACGGAGAACGAAUACUUACCGGAGCGUAAGGGGUCAGGACGACAAUCAGGGAAAGGCAUCUGGAUGAUGCAAAAGCCGCUCGGGAUUGAGCAGGCGCUUCAAAGGAACGUCGGUCAGGAAGACCAGAAGGAAAAGUUUUCAAGGAUUGAACAGGGAAGUAAAGCGAGUAGCCGGAUUGCUAUAAAACGAACUAAGCCCACUGUGUAUACAGUGGGCUUUUUUUAUGCC
This is a non-coding RNA of Leminorella grimontii, 294 nucleotides long. NCBI's taxonomy places the organism in Bacteria, Pseudomonadati, Pseudomonadota, Gammaproteobacteria, Enterobacterales, Budviciaceae. The record is from Rfam.